UUGAUUAUGGCUCAGGACGAACGCUGGCGGCGUGCUUAACACAUGCAAGUGGAGCGAUGAAGCACCUUCGGGUGUGAAUUAGCGGCGAACGGGUGAGGAACACGUGAAGAAUCUGCCUUCAACUCUGGGAUAACUCCGGGAAACCUGUGCUAAUACCGAAUAUUGAAACAUAAGUGGCAUCACUGAGUUUUGAAAGAAUUUCGGUGGAGGAUGACUUCGCGGCCUAUCAGCUAGUUGGUGAGGUAAUGGCUCACCAAGGCAACGACGGGUAGCCGGCCUGAGAGGGCGACCGGCCACACUGGGACUGAGACACGGCCCAGACUCCUACGGGAGGCAGCAGUGGGGAAUAUUGGGCAAUGGAGGAAACUCUGACCCAGCGACGCCGCGUGCGGGAUGAAGGCCUUCGGGUUGUAAACCGCUUUCAGUAGGGAAGAAGCGAAAGUGACGGUACCUACAAAAGAAGCACCGGCUAACUAUGUGCCAGCAGCCGCGGUAAUACAUAGGGUGCAAGCGUUGUCCGGAAUUAUUGGGCGUAAAGAGCUCGUAGGUUGUUUGUUACGUCGGAUGUGAAAACCUGAGGCUCAACCUCAGGCCUGCAUUCGAUACGGGCAAACUAGAGUUUGGUAGGGGAGACUGGAAUUCCUGGUGUAGCGGUGGAAUGCGCAGAUAUCAGGAGGAACACCAAUGGCGAAGGCAGGUCUCUGGGCCAAUACUGACACUGAGGAGCGAAAGUCUGGGGAGCGAACAGGAUUAGAUACCCUGGUAGUCCAGACCGUAAACGGUGGGCACUAGUUGUGGGACCUUCCACGGUUUCUGCGACGCAGCUAACGCAUUAAGUGCCCCGCCUGGGGAGUACGAUCGCAAGAUUAAAACUCAAAGGAAUUGACGG
This 889-nucleotide ribosomal RNA is filed under the name uncultured Actinomycetales bacterium. Its description in RNAcentral is "bacterial SSU rRNA". It matches the Rfam family "Bacterial small subunit ribosomal RNA", at positions 13 to 916 of the family's 1533-position model. The record is from RNAcentral. Lineage: Bacteria; Bacillati; Actinomycetota; Actinomycetes; Actinomycetales.